Molecule: long non-coding RNA, 371 nt
Organism: Vicia villosa (hairy vetch)
Lineage: Eukaryota; Viridiplantae; Streptophyta; Magnoliopsida; Fabales; Fabaceae
Exons: 2
Source: RefSeq, a predicted model, not a curated record
AAAGAGAUAUUGCAACUCCAACAUUUCUGCUUCCAAUUUCCACAGAAACUUCCUCCGUCUCUUCCUUAUCUCAUUCUUAAAUUCAUUCAUCAUCAUCUUCUUCUCUUAUCAUAUUACUAUUCCUCAGUUAUUUCUCUCAUUCUUUCAUCCCACAAUCUUUUCAUUUUUUCUCAUUAUAUAUUGUGAAAAACAUUUAACCCUUUUUAAUAAAUUUCUUAUUCUUUUACAGGUUGUAAAUUUUUUAAGCUUUGUUACGAUCUAUGUUGUCUUUUUCGUUGAUGAGGCGUUAUCGUUAGAUUUGGUAAUCAUGAUCUUAAGAAAAAAUCUUCCAGAUCUGGAGAAAAGUGCUUCUGGAUUGGGAAUUACUUUUG